Long non-coding RNA from Vitis riparia (riverbank grape), 889 nucleotides. RefSeq lists it as uncharacterized. The record is from RefSeq and is a predicted model, not a curated record. NCBI's taxonomy places the organism in Eukaryota, Viridiplantae, Streptophyta, Magnoliopsida, Vitales, Vitaceae. The transcript has 2 exons.
GGAAACCAUCAGAAGAGUCAAUGUCAUUUUUCAAAGAUUGCUGCAUAAAUCUUGGCAUCACAGCCAUCGAGUUAAUCUGCAAGGAAAAGUAGUAUACCCUGCUUAUGCUGCUCUGAGGGAAUGCCUAGACAAGUCAUUAUACAUGAAACACAAGAUAAUGAGGCAAACCUGUGCAGUAUUAAGAGCUACAUUCUUGCAAUCAGGUAAGAUGCUCACAGACCAUGCAGGCAAGUGAUAUGAAUUGCCACUGAAAUUCACAGUAGCAUCAGAAUUGGUGCGCACAUUGGCAAGAAACGCAGCACAUGACCCUGUUCCUGUUUUAUAGACACUGGCCUGAAAUGGGAAUAAGUCCACAGUAAGAAAUAUUUUUGCAUGCAACUCCACAAAUAAAUCUUUGGCACUGCAAUUAAUAUCAUAUGAUUAUGAUCAGAGCAUUUUGCAUCCUUGAAGCAUCUAAUCAUGGGAAAGAAAUGGUGUCGUCAAACAGUAAGUAUCUAUCCGUCAGGAAGAAGAAACCAUGCACUUCCGGAGUAGAAACUAUGUGCUCCUGUCCUUGAUUAAGGAGUAAAGAGUAUACCUCCAAAUUUGUACCAAGAGAAGUAAUUGUUGGGUCAGUGGCGAUCAGUGCUGCUUCACAAAGCUUUAUGGCCUUAUGCAGAUCUUUUAGGUGACCCCACUUGGGUUGUCUGAGAAGUCCUGCAAUGUACACAGAAAAUGUCUCUAUUUACAGAUGACAAUGUAAGAGCAUUACAAGUUCUCAAAGAUUCUAGUAAGUUGCAGAAUUAUAUUGGCUACAAGUUAUUUAGGUUGCAAGCGGUUGAUGACCUGGUUCUUAUCUUUGCCAGGGAAAAAAAGGAAUAAAUGAAAAAAAAGACAACCUGGAUUCUUA